AUUAUUCCUCACAUUAAGUUUCAAAACACUUUAUAGGUUGUAAAGAACUGACAAUUGUCAUUUGUUGUGUUUGCAGCAUAUUUACUGAAAUCAAAAGCUAUUUCAAUCAAACUUAUAACAACAUUUUAACUUUUUAAACAUUUUAACAGGUCACAUUACAUUUUAACAUAUGACCCCUUAUUUGAUAGCAGCUUCACAAGUCUUGC
Pelobates cultripes (western spadefoot toad) is the source of this 206-nucleotide non-coding RNA. NCBI's taxonomy places the organism in Eukaryota, Metazoa, Chordata, Amphibia, Anura, Pelobatidae. The record is from the annotation of a GenBank genome assembly.